AAAGUCGUUCAAAAUCAAACUCCAGAGAAAGAAAACCAGCGAAAGAAAAUUCAUACGAGCAAAGUCGACUUUCGAGUGAAAAAUCUAGAAACAACAAAGCGGAAUUGCUUGCUUUAGCAAAACUUGCUAGAAAACAAAUCCACGAACCCAUGUAUAAAGACAAAGUAUCGAAGCGAGACAAGAAUAGAAUCAAGAUUAAGCAUGAAAAAGUUAUAAAUUGGUCAUGGACAAACCGAACCGCGGAAGAAGAACUACAAGGUUUAAAAGCUUUAUGUAAAGAGAUUUUUGAAUCCAUCGAUUACAAUGCUGACCCUAAAAGUAAAGACAGUGAAAGGAGAUGGUACUAUUGAACCUUUUUGAAUCUGAUAUGAACUUAAUUACUGCAGUAACAAUGAAUUCGUCUAGUAUUCAUGGCGUUGAAAUCAUACAAUAUAUAUUUUACCAGCGUAAAAGGUACCAAUACAAACGUUAGAAUAUCAGAGAAUGAGCAUAUAUUUGUUUAGCAUUUGGUUAAAAUCGUCUUAUGGUGUUUGUUCGAUGAUUUGGCUGCGGCUAGAUUAAUCAAAAAUCUUCGAUUGUGUAUAUUUGAAAUUUAGGCUUAAAAUUCUAAAAAAUUGUAAGUGAAUCUUUCUAAUUUUUACUGUAUUAUUCAUUCUACGUUGUUUCAUGUGUUUAUGUUUUAUAUUUUAAAAUAAUUGUUUUCAAGAUUUUAUCAA
Styela clava is the source of this 716-nucleotide non-coding RNA. The record is from RefSeq and is a predicted model, not a curated record. Lineage: Eukaryota; Metazoa; Chordata; Ascidiacea; Stolidobranchia; Styelidae.